RNAcentral lists this ribosomal RNA (382 nucleotides) under uncultured eukaryote. RNAcentral describes it as "partial 18S ribosomal RNA". It matches the Rfam family "Eukaryotic small subunit ribosomal RNA", at positions 592 to 976 of the family's 1831-position model. The record is from RNAcentral.
CAAUAGCGUAUAUUAAAGUUGUUGCAGUUAAAAAGCUCGUAGUUGGAUUUCUGGUGGGAACGUUUGGCCGGCCGUAACGGUUUGUGCUGAAAUGUUUUUCGCCAUCCUUGACGAAUACUGGUUCGCCAUUAAGUUGUGUGAGCUUGGAGUCGUCAUCGUUUACUGUGAAAAAAUUAGAGUGUUCAAAGCAGGCUUAUGCCGUUGAAUACAUUAGCAUGGAAUAAUAAGAUAGGACCCUGGUACUAUUUUGUUGGUUUGCGUACCUAGGUAAUGAUUAAUAGGGACAGUUGGGGGUAUUUGUAUUCCAUUGUCAGAGGUGAAAUUCUUGGAUUUAUGGAAGACAAACUACUGCGAAANCANNNACCAAGGAUGUUUUCAUNAA